CAGUCGCCGCGGUAAUACGAAGGGGGGCUAGCGUUGCUCGGAAUGACUGGGCGUAAAGGGCGCGUAGGCGGCUGACGCAGUCAGAUGUGAAAUUCCUGGGCUCAACCUGGGGACUGCAUUUGAGACGUGUUGGCUUGAGUGGAGAAGAGGGUCGUGGAAUUUCCAGUGUAGAGGUGAAAUUCGUAGAUAUUGGAAAGAACACCGGUGGCGAAGGCGGCGACCUGGUCUUUAACUGACGCUGAGGCGCGAAAGCGUGGGGAGCAAACAGGAUUAGAUACCCCAGUAGUCCCUGUCUCUUAUA
RNAcentral lists this ribosomal RNA (301 nucleotides) under uncultured bacterium. Its description in RNAcentral is "partial 16S ribosomal RNA". It matches the Rfam family "Bacterial small subunit ribosomal RNA", at positions 509 to 808 of the family's 1533-position model. The record is from RNAcentral.